Molecule: ribosomal RNA, 305 nt
Filed under: uncultured bacterium
Lineage: Bacteria
Description: bacterial SSU rRNA
Rfam family: Bacterial small subunit ribosomal RNA
Source: RNAcentral
GCCUACGGGGCGCAGCAGUGGGGAAUCUUCCGCAAUGGGCGAAAGCCUGACGGAGCAACGCCGCGUGAUCGAAUGAAGGCCUUCGGGUUGUAAAGAUCUGUUGACAGGGACGAAUAAGCCAUGCGAAUAGUUUGGUGUAUGACGGUACCUGUUUAGAAAGCUCCGGCUAACUACGUGCCAGCAGCCGCGGUAAUACGUAGGGGGCAAGCGUUAUCCGGAUUUACUGGGUGUAAAGGGAGCGUAGACGGCUGUGCAAGUCUGAAGUGAAAUGCCGGGGCCCAACCCCGGAACUGCUUUGGAAACUG